AUUGAACGCUGGCGGCAGGCCUAACACAUGCAAGUCGAGCGGAUGAAGGGAGCUUGCUCCUGGAUUCAGCGGCGGACGGGUGAGUAAUGCCUAGGAAUCUGCCUGGUAGUGGGGGAUAACGUCCGGAAACGGGCGCUAAUACCGCAUACGUCCUGAGGGUGAAAGUGGGGGAUCUUCGGACCUCACGCUAUCAGAUGAGCCUAGGUCGGAUUAGCUAGUUGGUGGGGUAAAGGCCUACCAAGGCGACGAUCCGUAACUGGCCUGAGAGGAUGAUCAGUCACACUGGAACUGAGACACGGUCCAGACUCCUACGGGAGGCAGCAGUGGGGAAUAUUGGACAAUGGGCGAAAGCCUGAUCCAGCCAUGCCGCGUGUGUGAAGAAGGUCUUCGGAUUGUAAAGCACUUUAAGUUGGGAGGAAGGGCAGUAAGUUAAUACCUUGCUGUUUUGACGUUACCAACAGAAUAAGCACCGGCUAACUUCGUG
Molecule: ribosomal RNA, 484 nt
Filed under: uncultured bacterium
Lineage: Bacteria
Description: partial 16S ribosomal RNA
Rfam family: Bacterial small subunit ribosomal RNA
Source: RNAcentral